UACAGAUUCAAGUUAACCGCUUUUGUUAAGAAUUGUGAGAAACCCAGCGAGGCGGCGACCCUGACUCUGGACACCAGUGCUGGAGUUCCGUUCUUCCUCGGGAAGGCUGCAAGUGAUCAUGUAUCUGAAAAGAAGAAGCCAGACAAGACUCGCGUUAUUACCGUUAAUAACACGUCCUUCGGAGAAGACAAUGGUCGUAUCAGGUAUUACGAAGUGCAGCUGGCUGAGGGAUGUGGAGAAAACCAGAUAUUUAAACCCAAAAGGUACGAGGACCAGCUGGGUAACAGAUGUGAGGAAACACAGACACUCGAUGCAUUUACUACAGUCGGUUGUAACGAAGCCAAAGUUUACUUGGGUGAUGAGAGGUCGCCACUGACGGCUGACACUAACUACACAUACCGGGUGGUUAUCUACACUUCAACAAACAGGGCAUCAUCUAGUCAUUACUGUUUCAAAACUGACCGUA
This is a non-coding RNA of Cherax quadricarinatus, 466 nucleotides long. NCBI's taxonomy places the organism in Eukaryota, Metazoa, Arthropoda, Malacostraca, Decapoda, Parastacidae. The record is from RefSeq and is a predicted model, not a curated record.